GAGCGAACGGACGAGAAGCUUGCUUCUCUGAUGUUAGCGGCGGACGGGUGAGUAACACGUGGAUAACCUACCUAUAAGACUGGGAUAACUUCGGGAAACCGGAGCUAAUACCGGAUAAUAUUUUGAACCGCAUGGUUCAAAAGUGAAAGACGGUCUCGCUGUCACUUAUAGAUGGAUCCGCGCUGCAUUAGCUAGUUGGUAAGGUAACGGCUUACCAAGGCAACGAUGCAUAGCCGACCUGAGAGGGUGAUCGGCCACACUGGAACUGAGACACGGUCCAGACUCCUACGGGAGGCAGCAGUAGGGAAUCUUCCGCAAUGGGCGAAAGCCUGACGGAGCAACGCCGCGUGAGUGAUGAAGGUCUUCGGAUCGUAAAACUCUGUUAUUAGGGAAGAACAUAUGUGUAAGUAACUGUGCACAUCUUGACGGUACCUAAUCAGAAAGCCACGGCUAACUACGUGCCAGCAGCCGCGGUAAUACGUAGGUGGCAAGCGUUAUCCGGAAUUAUUGGGCGUAAAGCGCGCGUAGGCGGUUUUUUAAGUCUGAUGUGAAAGCCCACGGCUCAACCGUGGAGGGUCAUUGGAAACUGGAAAACUUGAGUGCAGAAGAGGAAAGUGGAAUUCCAUGUGUAGCGGUGAAAUGCGCAGAGAUAUGGAGGAACACCAGUGGCGAAGGCGACUUUCUGGUCUGUAACUGACGCUGAUGUGCGAAAGCGUGGGGAUCA
This 724-nucleotide ribosomal RNA is filed under the name uncultured Staphylococcus sp. RNAcentral describes it as "bacterial SSU rRNA". It matches the Rfam family "Bacterial small subunit ribosomal RNA", at positions 64 to 770 of the family's 1533-position model. Lineage: Bacteria; Bacillati; Bacillota; Bacilli; Caryophanales; Staphylococcaceae. The record is from RNAcentral.